UCACUGUCCUCUACUAGUAUCUUGUCAAUGGUGACUCCUGAUUGAAUUUUUAUGACUCCAAUUCUCAAUCGUCAACCUACCUUCCAGUUGGCACUUGAAUGAGAUACGGAGGAACUGGUUCAGCAAACAAGUGGAUGUUCCGUAAAAUUUAGUUCAUCGCAUCAAGCAACUAAGAGCUGAUCAACAGCUAAUAAAAAAAUAGAAUAGUGUCCAUAAAGAAAUGUUGAAUCCCCGAAAGUAAGAGUUUCCAUCUGACGCCAAGCAAACAGUGGAUGGUCUUUCUGAUUUUUUUCCCUGUUAUGCUGCACACUGUGUGAUCUCUCUCAUCAGAGACCGUGAUUUAAAUUUCCCUGUCCUAUUUCGAGUCUGGAAGGAUACAAUGAUGGAACUAGAAAAUUUGAAAGGAGAACGUGAACGAAAACUUUCGGGAAUGGAAGAAGAACUUAAGCAAUUUCAAAAACUUAAAGCUGAGAAUGAGAGACUGCGAGCAGAAAACCGAACAUUGACUCGGGUUGUGACUAAACUGACAGCCUCUGCAAAUGCUGUAAAAUAGGUAACCUCUGACCAAACUGUCAAGGAGUGAGCUUGGCUGCUUUUGUCCUGUAAAAAGUUUUUUGCAGUUGAGAGUGAUGUGACAUAACCCAGCAAAAAUUUCCGAUUUGAAUUUUCCCUUUUUUCCUGGUUUGUUUGGCGUUUUUGCUUUGAACUGAACGGUCUGUAAAUGUUGAGCUCCAAAGUAAAAACUGGAAAAUUUUCAAGUUUUGGGGGAGAAAGCUGCCAUUUUAAGCUAGUGGACUGGUCUGAACUGGAUUGUUUCUCCUGCAAGUCUCCUCAGUAUUCCUUGUAGAAAAGUUGCAUUCAAUAAUGUUUUUUUAAGUUAACUUUGAAUCUACAGAGUGUCCCAGACCACCUGCAUCUGGCUUUUUUCUCGGUUAUUUUAGUCGAGGGUUCUAGGGAAAAAUAAGGAAUUUAUCCUAAGAAAUCUGAAUUUCAUUAUUCCAUCA
This 1004-nucleotide long non-coding RNA is filed under the name Bemisia tabaci. RNAcentral's name for it is "lncRNA ENSASIAIIG002550". The record is from RNAcentral. Lineage: Eukaryota; Metazoa; Arthropoda; Insecta; Hemiptera; Aleyrodidae.